RNAcentral lists this ribosomal RNA (465 nucleotides) under uncultured Halocella sp. Its description in RNAcentral is "bacterial SSU rRNA". It matches the Rfam family "Bacterial small subunit ribosomal RNA", at positions 338 to 795 of the family's 1533-position model. The record is from RNAcentral. Lineage: Bacteria; Bacillati; Bacillota; Clostridia; Halanaerobiales; Halanaerobiaceae.
CCUACGGGGGGCUGCAGUGGGGAAUCUUCCGCAAUGGGCGAAAGCCUGACGGAGCAACGCCGCGUGAACGAAGAAGGCCUUCGGGUCGUAAAGUUCUGUCCUCAGGGAAGAACCCUCAUGGUAGGGAAUGACCAUGAGCUGACGGUACCUGGGAAGGAAGCCCUGGCUAACUACGUGCCAGCAGCCGCGGUAAUACGUAGAGGGCAAGCGUUGUCCGGAAUCACUGGGCGUAAAGGGUACGUAGGCGGAUAUAUAAGUCAAAUGUGAAAGGCACCGGCUUAACCGGUGAGCUGCAUUUGAAACUGUAUAUCUUGAGUUCAGGAGAGGAGAGCGGAAUUCCUGGUGUAGCGGUGGAAUGCGUAGAUAUCAGGAAGAACACCAGUGGCGAAGGCGGCUCUCUGGCCUGAAACUGACGCUCAGGUACGAAAGCUGGGGUAGCAAACGGGAUUAGAUACCCCUGUAGUC